GCGAAGCCGGCACCCGUUCCGGAUGACUGCACCGACCCUCGUUGGAAGUGGUUUAAGUGUUGUCUCGGCGCGCUGGACGGCACCCAUAUAAGUGUCUUAGUACCUACCGAUGACAAACCACGUAAUAGAUCGAGGAAAGGCCAGAUAGCAACUAAUGUUCUAGUUGUAUGUGAUCGUCAAAUGCAGUUUGUGUACUUGCUCCCUGGCUGGGAAGGGUCUGCGGGAGACUCCCGCGUCCUCAAGGAUGCAGUUUCACAUGCUGGAGGCCUUAAAGUACCGCAAGGUUGCUAUUACCUUUGCGAUAAUGCUUAUGCAAAUUGCAAUGGGUUCCUCACACCAUUCAAGGCAACACGCUAUCAUCUCAAGGAGUGGGGUCCAGAGGCUGAAGCUCC
Salvia splendens (bonfire salvia) is the source of this 392-nucleotide long non-coding RNA. RefSeq lists it as uncharacterized. NCBI's taxonomy places the organism in Eukaryota, Viridiplantae, Streptophyta, Magnoliopsida, Lamiales, Lamiaceae. The transcript is spliced from 3 exons. The record is from RefSeq and is a predicted model, not a curated record.